This 418-nucleotide RNase P RNA is filed under the name Candidatus Vogelbacteria bacterium RIFOXYB1_FULL_42_16. Its description in RNAcentral is "RNase P RNA component class A". It matches the Rfam family "Bacterial RNase P class A". Rfam says of the family: Ribonuclease P (RNase P) is a ubiquitous endoribonuclease, found in archaea, bacteria and eukarya as well as chloroplasts and mitochondria. The record is from RNAcentral. Lineage: Bacteria; Candidatus Vogeliibacteriota.
GCUGGUCAGUAGGCAGUCGCUCUUUGUCGCAAGACAGGGGGAGGAAAGUCCGAACACUGUCGUCAUACCUUUCGAGGUGUGGCGGUAAAAUGGUAGCGGGUAACGCCCGUCUGGUGUAAACCAAGAGGUGCGAACAGAAACGACCCGGUUAAGUCCGGCUGAAACGGCAAAAUCCUUACUGCAGUGCAAGGCCGUGUCUGCACACCAAUCAUGGCAUUGUGUCUAAGUUUUUUGUAAAUUUGAAACUAGAUUCAAUACUAAACAAUCUAAAAUUCAAUUGGUUUUUAAAAAUUGAUUUUAGACACAAAAAACGAUGCCAUAAUUGGUGUGCAGAAGUGCCGCUAGAACCAAGUAGUAAUAUUUGGUCCAGAUAAAUGAUUGUCCAAGACAGAAUUCGGCUUAUCGCUGGCCAGCUAAA